RNAcentral lists this ribosomal RNA (528 nucleotides) under Pseudomonas fluorescens. RNAcentral describes it as "bacterial SSU rRNA". It matches the Rfam family "Bacterial small subunit ribosomal RNA", at positions 61 to 590 of the family's 1533-position model. The record is from RNAcentral. Lineage: Bacteria; Pseudomonadati; Pseudomonadota; Gammaproteobacteria; Pseudomonadales; Pseudomonadaceae.
CUCGAGCGGUAGAGAGAAGCUUGCUUCUCUUGAGAGCGGCGGACGGGUGAGUAAUGCCUAGGAAUCUGCCUGGUAGUGGGGGAUAACGUUCGGAAACGGACGCUAAUACCGCAUACGUCCUACGGGAGAAAGCAGGGGACCUUCGGGCCUUGCGCUAUCAGAUGAGCCUAGGUCGGAUUAGCUAGUUGGUGAGGUAAUGGCUCACCAAGGCGACGAUCCGUAACUGGUCUGAGAGGAUGAUCAGUCACACUGGAACUGAGACACGGUCCAGACUCCUACGGGAGGCAGCAGUGGGGAAUAUUGGACAAUGGGCGAAAGCCUGAUCCAGCCAUGCCGCGUGUGUGAAGAAGGUCUUCGGAUUGUAAAGCACUUUAAGUUGGGAGGAAGGGCAGUUACCUAAUACUGAUUGGUUUUGACGUUACCGACAGAAUAACACCGGCUACUCUGUGCCAACACCCGCGGUAAUACAGAGGUGCAACGUUAAUCGGAUUCUGGGCGUAAACCCCGUAGUGGUUGUUAAUUGGAUGU